Molecule: transfer RNA, 76 nt
Filed under: Gemmataceae bacterium
Lineage: Bacteria; Pseudomonadati; Planctomycetota; Planctomycetia; Gemmatales; Gemmataceae
Also listed under: 5 other names
Description: tRNA-Val
Rfam family: tRNA
About the family: Transfer RNA (tRNA) molecules are approximately 80 nucleotides in length. Their secondary structure includes four short double-helical elements and three loops (D, anti-codon, and T loops). Further hydrogen bonds mediate the characteristic L-shaped molecular structure. tRNAs have two regions of fundamental functional importance: the anti-codon, which is responsible for specific mRNA codon recognition, and the 3' end, to which the tRNAs corresponding amino acid is attached (by aminoacyl-tRNA synthetases). tRNAs cope with the degeneracy of the genetic code in two manners: having more than one tRNA (with a specific anti-codon) for a particular amino acid; and 'wobble' base-pairing, i.e. permitting non-standard base-pairing at the 3rd anti-codon position.
Source: RNAcentral
GGGCGGCUAGCUCAGCCGGGAGAGCGCUAGCUUGACAUGCUAGAGGUCGGCGGUUCGAUCCCGUCGCCGCCCACCA